Molecule: microRNA precursor, 78 nt
Filed under: Schistosoma bovis
Lineage: Eukaryota; Metazoa; Platyhelminthes; Trematoda; Strigeidida; Schistosomatidae
Description: mir-3492 microRNA precursor family
Rfam family: mir-3492 microRNA precursor family
Source: Rfam by way of RNAcentral
AGCUUUCUGGAUACGUGCAGAGAUUUUGUCAGACACCAACCUUUUAGGGCUGAUCAAACAUCCGAGAUAAGUGAAGUC